CGGGACGGGUGAGUAAUGUCUGGGAAACUGCCUGAUGGAGGGGGAUAACUACUGGAAACGGUAGCUAAUACGCAUAACGUCGCAAGACCAAAGAGGGGGACCGUUCGGGCCUCUUGCCAUCGGAUGUGCCCAGAUGGGAUUAGCUAGUAGGUGGGGUAACGGCUCACCUAGGCGACGAUCCCUAGCUGGUCUGAGAGGAUGACCAGCCACACUGGAACUGAGACACGGUCCAG
RNAcentral lists this ribosomal RNA (233 nucleotides) under uncultured bacterium. RNAcentral's name for it is "partial 16S ribosomal RNA". It matches the Rfam family "Bacterial small subunit ribosomal RNA", at positions 100 to 334 of the family's 1533-position model. The record is from RNAcentral.